Molecule: ribosomal RNA, 577 nt
Filed under: uncultured bacterium
Lineage: Bacteria
Description: partial 16S ribosomal RNA
Rfam family: Bacterial small subunit ribosomal RNA
Source: RNAcentral
UGGGGAAUUUUGGACAAUGGGCGAAAGCCUGAUCCAGCAAUGCCGCGUGUGUGAAGAAGGCCUUCGGGUUGUAAAGCACUUUUGUCCGGAAAGAAAUCCUUGGCUCUAAUACAGUCGGGGGAUGACGGUACCGGAAGAAUAAGCACCGGCUAACUACGUGCCAGCAGCCGCGGUAAUACGUAGGGUGCAAGCGUUAAUCGGAAUUACUGGGCGUAAAGCGUGCGCAGGCGGUUUGCUAAGACCGAUGUGAAAUCCCCGGGCUCAACCUGGGAACUGCAUUGGUGACUGGCAGGCUAGAGUAUGGCAGAGGGGGGUAGAAUUCCACGUGUAGCAGUGAAAUGCGUAGAGAUGUGGAGGAAUACCGAUGGCGAAGGCAGCCCCCUGGGCCAAAUACUGACGCUCAUGCACGAAAAGCGUGGGGGAGCAAAACAGGAUUAGAUACCCCUGGUAGUCCACGCCCUAAAACGAUGUCAACUAGUUGUUGGGGAUUCAUUUCCUUAGUAACGUAGCUAACGCGUGAAGUUGACCGCCUGGGGAGUACGGUCGCAAGAUUAAAAACUUAAAUGAAUUGACGGGG